This 254-nucleotide ribosomal RNA is filed under the name uncultured bacterium. RNAcentral describes it as "partial 16S ribosomal RNA". It matches the Rfam family "Bacterial small subunit ribosomal RNA", at positions 524 to 776 of the family's 1533-position model. The record is from RNAcentral.
CACGUAGGGUGCAAGCGUUGUCCGGAAUCAUUGGGCGUAAAGAGCUCGUAGGCGGCUUAGUAAGUCGGGUGUGAAAACCCCAGGCUCAACCUGGGGACGCCACCCGAUACUGCUAUAGCUAGAGUCCAGUAGGGGAGUGUGGAAUUCCCAGUGUAGCGGUGAAAUGCGUAGAUAUUGGGAGGAACACCGGUGGCGAAGGCGGCCCCCUGGACCGGUACUGACGCUGAUGCGCGAAAGCGUGGGUAGCAAACGGG